CAACUCCACUGACUCCGAGACAACUGCUCCUAUUUACCUCAACCAUGAGCCUGUCCCCAGCGCCGAAACGUCGAUCUGAUGAUUACCAGCUAGACUUGUUCCGACAAAUUAACAUGAAAAAAAGAGAAACAAUGAAAAAGCAACUCCUUGAAUGUAACACUUAGGAGAUGUGUACCUACUGGAAUACCAAAAAUGCAGGAACUCGGGAAAUGAGAGAGCAUCUAAACAGUAUCAGAAGUUGAAGUUUUUCCCUGAGACAUCAUGUUCUUUUGUCAGCACGUUGCCCAGUUAACACACAAUGAUCAAAGAUCUGCAAUUCUAGUGUCACAUUUAAUACCUAUAUAUUUUAAUUGUCACUUACAUUGCAAAUGUCAUUAACGAAGCCUUAAGGAAUGCCUCAUUGUAUGAGUAGGUUUGCAGAUACCCUCUUCAGUCAACCUAAGAACAGUGCUUCUAUUUCAGCUCUAUGUAGAUACAUGCACAUACUCUUUGUUUCACUUCUUACACCAAUGAAUAAUUUCACAUUAGUUCUGUGCAUACUGAAGUAAAGAAAAGAAUCUUCACUUUUUCAGUUCUCUUUCAUUACACCAACCAUUUUCAUUUCUUACUAUGUUUCAUGUACUCUUAAGUUUUUCUCUUCACCACCAAUACUUUCACCCCGAGAAUGGUUUUAAGUUAUUAGAGGCCAUGCUAAAAAAUCCCCAAACAACUAAGAUUAAUAGAAAGACAGCCUCUGCUAUGGAAACUGUUAAUUCAGUAUAAUGGCUGCUCUGUUGUAAUUUGUUACAGCGAGAAUUUAUAUUCACUGACCAGCAGAUCUGAUCUACUGUUUAUAUGUCUAUUCAGAAUUGUAUAUAAUUGUAUAAUUCUGAUGGCAUAGACUCCUCUAUCCCUCUUUAUAUAAAAAAAGUGUGUUGUGACCAACUUGCUAUCACAGACUGACACAUUUAAAAUUGCAUACAUUAUUUAGUAAUAGCUUAUGUAUAAUUUUAUUUGUUUUCAGAGUUACAAUGUUCAUGAGAUAAUCAUAGAGAACACAUUAUAUAUUAUUGUUAAACACAUUUUUGCCACAAAAAGUUGAGAGCAUUGGUAGAAAAUCCUAUGUCAAGUUAUCUGAAAAUAUUUAUCACCUGUAACCAUAAUUUCAUAAAACCAAUAUACACUUUACGUAAUAUUAUAUCAGCGAAGUCCUUCUUUUUGCAAAUAACCUUUGCUCUAUACUUAUGCAUGUUUGUAGUUCAGUGCAUCAAAUGCUUCUGUGUGUGUGUGUCUGCAAUGCACAGGAAAAAUACUAGUUUACUCCUAUGGUAACUGUAAAUGUCAACACCACUGGACCCAAGAAUGGUGAAUACAAGAUCUUAAUUUUAGCGAAUAAUCACCUUCAUAUUUUUCUACCUAAUGCUGAACAAAACAUUAAUUGGCAUUUACCUCCUAAUGUUUACAGAACAUAGACUGUAUAUUUCAAAGACAUAAUCCUUACCAACUAUAUACUGACUUUUAUUUUAAUGUCUAUUAUAUAAAUUAGGACUCUGUUGAAUUCUUAUACUGAGGAACAAAUGAUAGUAACUUUAUUUAAAUACAUGCACAGUACCGUGCACUACAGCAUGAUGAAGUAUUAUUUUUAAAAUGGAUGAAUGAAUCAAUAGAAAAAUAGAUUUAAUAAAUAAUUAACAUUUUAAAGUCUGGAUAAAAAUGGGAAAUCAUGCAUUUCAAGCAAAAUUUUAUUUUUUCCUUGUUUUUUAUGAAAUCUCUGAGAACUUAAGACAUGCAGAGCUGAGAAGCAGCUCACUCUGAACAAAGAACAAUGUAAAGACUGCACAAAAAAUUUUGUUUGAGAUUGUUUAUAUGCAUGACUGAAAAAAUUUGCCAUUCUUCGACUUCCCUUCAACAUUAGACAGUGCUGUGCAAACCUCAGACAAAUCCCUGUAUUAUGAUUUCUAAGCUGUUAGGAAGUCUCUCAGAGAGCUAAGAAAGUUAAAACCUGAGCAACUGCCUCACCAAAAUUUAUGACAAGAAAUCUCUGGAUUUCAGAGAGCAAACUACAAAAGGGUAAUAGACAACAGGUCAUCAUUUCCUUGAGAGAUUAACUUAGGGGAUGAGUAAUUAUGGAUAGCAUAAAUUUAUAAAUUAUUCUGACAGAAAAAGAUAUGUUUAAUUUUUUAAUAUUUAGAGUUCGUAUCUAUGUCUCAAUAUUUAGCACAUGUUACUAUGUCAAUCAACUCAUGAAACAAUGAAAAGGGAGUAUUUACUUUAAAAUAAUUUAAUGUUUUUCCCUACCCAAACAUUUGUCUGGACAUUGACACUGCAAUCAAAAGAACUGUAAAUUUUCAGAAGUGAAUCUACUCCAGUGAGUUUGAUUAAUUAUGCAUUAACCCAUUUCUCUGAAGCAUCCUUCACUAAAUCUUUGGUGGGAAAUGCACUUUAAUUAGGCAUGAGCUUUGGUUAUUUGUGUGCAUAUGCACUAUGCUAUUGGUCUGUGUGGAGAAUGAUUUAAAGUUUUCCAUGUUACAGAGAUGUAUUGCUCAUGGAAAUAAUUCUAGGCUUUCAACAAACACUGAUGGCUAGUUUUGCAAUUAUUAUUAUCUUCACUCAGCAUGAUCUUAGUCCCAUAGUUUUUGCUCAAACUUUCAUCAACUUUUAAUCUUAACGAAAGCUUACUCUACUUACACGAGAACAAUCAUGAUCAUUAAUACUGUGCAUAUUGUUAGAUGUUUUCAGCAGGUACAGUUACACAUAUACAUAGGAGUUAUCAGAAUAACUUACAGGAUUUUAAUACUUAGUUGAAUAAAAAUAUUCUCAGGGUAGAAA
Molecule: long non-coding RNA, 2808 nt
Organism: Zonotrichia albicollis (white-throated sparrow)
Lineage: Eukaryota; Metazoa; Chordata; Aves; Passeriformes; Passerellidae
Source: RefSeq, a predicted model, not a curated record